UCCUGCCGGAGUACCGGGUACGGUCCGCGAAAAGUGACCCUGGGACUGCGUGCAUGCAUGCCUCCGGGGUGGAUGGCAUUCCGCCAACAGGGUCACUCCGAUAGCGCCCGGCAGCCCAAGCACCCUUCCUACCCUUCCUGCCUCCCUGAAGUCCAGCAUUAAUCCCUUACCCGGCGACACCCGGCAGCCCCUUCACCCCUGUGUACCUCGCAGGAUGCAGAGAUUGUGCGGACCCGGGAUCCCGAAAAACUCGCUUCCUGUGACAUCGUGGUGGACGUGGGGGGCGAGUACGACCCUCGGAGACACCGAUAUGACCAUCACCAGAGGUCUUUCACAGAGACCAUGAGCUCCCUGUCCCCUGGGAAGCCGUGGCAGACCAAGCUGAGCAGUGCGGGACUCAUCUAUCUGCACUUCGGGCACAAGCUGCUGGCCCAGUUGCUGGGCACUAGUGAAGAGGACAGCAUGGUGGGCACCCUCUAUGACAAGGUGGGGACCUGAGGACAGAGAUGCCCCCCACAUGCAUUUCCAGCAGGCCGCCUGGGAGCAGUGCUCACACAGCACUCAGCACUGGGCCUCGGGUCAGGGUUCC
RNAcentral lists this small RNA (589 nucleotides) under Pan troglodytes (chimpanzee). Its description in RNAcentral is "retained intron". The record is from RNAcentral. Lineage: Eukaryota; Metazoa; Chordata; Mammalia; Primates; Hominidae.